CCUACGGGUGGCAGCAGUGAGGAAUAUUGGUCAAUGGACGCGAGUCUGAACCAGCCAAGUAGCGUGAAGGAUGACUGCCCUAUGGGUUGUAAACUUCUUUUAUAUGGGAAUAAAAUGUGCCACGUGUGGGGUUUGGUAUGUACCAUAUGAAUAAGGAUCGGCUAACUCCGUGCCAGCAGCCGCGGUAAUACGGAGGGUCAGAGCGUUAUCCGGAUUUAUUGGGUUUAAAGGGAGCGUAGGGGGAAUGUUAAGUUCGUUGUUAAAUGUUGCGGCUCAACCGUCAAAUUGCCGUUGAAACUGGCAGUCUUGAGUACAGGAGAGGUAGGCGGAAUUCGUGGUGUAGCGGUGAAAUGCUUAGAUAUCACGAAGAACUCCGAUUGCGAAGGCAGCUCACCGGACUUCAACUGACACUGAGGCUCGAAAGUGUGGGUAUCAAACAGGAUUAGAUACCCGGGUAGUC
This 460-nucleotide ribosomal RNA is filed under the name uncultured bacterium. Its description in RNAcentral is "partial 16S ribosomal RNA". It matches the Rfam family "Bacterial small subunit ribosomal RNA", at positions 338 to 795 of the family's 1533-position model. The record is from RNAcentral.